GAGGAAGCCAGCCCAAUUGAAACAGUCCUGCAAGACAGCUCCAUUGGGGGUGAGGACUUGCAGAAGGGAGAGAUACAGCUCCACACAGAAACACAAG
Long non-coding RNA from Gavialis gangeticus (Gharial), 97 nucleotides. RefSeq lists it as uncharacterized. The transcript is spliced from 3 exons. NCBI's taxonomy places the organism in Eukaryota, Metazoa, Chordata, Crocodylia, Gavialidae. The record is from RefSeq and is a predicted model, not a curated record.